GUUCCCCUGUGUCUCCAGAGGAACAGGAUACUGCUUAUUGGAUGAAACCACCACUUUUCAGUGAUGGAGUCGAAAUGGACACUCCUCAGCUAGAUAAAUGUAUGAGUUGCCUGUUAGAAGUAGCUCUUUCUGGAAAUGAAGAACAGAAGCCUUUUGAUUAUAAAUUGCGGCCUGAAAUUGCUGUCUAUGUAGACUUGGCAUUGGGUUGUUCUAAAGAGCCGGCCCGUAGCCUUUGGAUCAGCAUGCAAGAUUACGCUGUUAGUAAAGGUAAGAUAAAGAGGAUAAAGGGAGUAAAUACGU
This 300-nucleotide long non-coding RNA is filed under the name Cavia porcellus (domestic guinea pig). RNAcentral describes it as "lncRNA (ENSCPOG00000032657.1)". Lineage: Eukaryota; Metazoa; Chordata; Mammalia; Rodentia; Caviidae. The record is from RNAcentral.